CGGCGGACGGGUGAGUAACACGUGGGUAACCUACCUAUAAGACUGGGAUAACUCCGGGAAACCGGGGCUAAUACCUGAUAAUAUAUUGAACCGCAUGGUUCAAUAGUGAAAGACGGUUUUGCUGUCACUUAUAGAUGGAUCCGCGCCGCAUUAGCUAGUUGGUAAGGUAACAGCUUACCAAGGCAACGAUGCGUAGCCGACCUGAGAGGGUGAUCGGCCACACUGGAACUGAGACACGGUCCAG
RNAcentral lists this ribosomal RNA (244 nucleotides) under uncultured Staphylococcus sp. RNAcentral describes it as "partial 16S ribosomal RNA". It matches the Rfam family "Bacterial small subunit ribosomal RNA", at positions 96 to 334 of the family's 1533-position model. Lineage: Bacteria; Bacillati; Bacillota; Bacilli; Caryophanales; Staphylococcaceae. The record is from RNAcentral.